Molecule: long non-coding RNA, 1009 nt
Organism: Cyanistes caeruleus (blue tit)
Lineage: Eukaryota; Metazoa; Chordata; Aves; Passeriformes; Paridae
Source: Ensembl
CACCGUUCAUGAGGAACGAGACUCCAUUAGAGAGCAGCAGCUGGAACUUUUUAAGCUUUACAUAUUUUUCUUCCCAAGCCUCCACGUCCCCUCCUUCCUCCUCAUUCAGUUGAUUAAAAGCGAUCAGGGCUGCUCUGAUUUAUCAACUCAAUCCUUUACUCUAAGCAAUUGAGAAAGCUGGUGCUUCCAGCCAUCCAGCCCCAGCUUUAGAGAUCAAGCUCAGCUGUCUCUGUUUACCUCUUAGCCCAAGUGAACUCUUGCCAUAACAGCACAGGUACCUUGAACUUUUCCUCGUCCAGCAGUAACUGGAGAUUGAUUCCUUUGUUUGUUGCCUCUGCUUUGAUGUGAGCAAGGACAAGGUGCAGUGAUGACAGGCAGGUCCAUCACAUCAGAGCCCGGGAACAGAAGUAUCUUCACUGAACUGGUGCCUGACAAUCUGAAAUCAAAGGGCAUCCAGUGGAAGAUCACAGUUACAGCAGUUUGGGGAAAAGGAAACAAAACCACUGUUCAUCCCUGCAAUGAGAUAUCUUGUGACAAACAUCUUACUCUAACUGGGGUCAAAACAUCUGACCUAUUAACAGAAAAGGAGCAGAUUGAGAGCUUGCCUGUACUGGCGCAGAAGGAUGCCAGCCCCAGCAGAAUUUACUUUUUUCUUAAGAGCAUACCAAAGCCUCCUGAAGUUCACCAGGAAUUUUGUAGCACCUGUCUGGCACACAAUCUGCUGGUCGUCUGAUUUUUCCUGUGGGUAUGUGUGUUAUAACUAAAAGAGAGCAUUAGAGGGGAAAGGCACUGAAACGGGAUGUUUUUUUAUUUCAGUAAAUUUACAAAAUCAGUAAUUUCUGGAGGGAGCUCAGAGCCACAAGCCCAGUCAAGAGAUUCUACACUUUACCAAAGUAGUUUUUUUCUGAAAAGUUCUCCUGCAGCAAUCAAAAUGUAUUAAUUUUUUCACAGAUUGUGGAGCUCAAGGGGUGAAGUUUUGUACUUUGUUUAAGGCCAGAGGUUUGUCUAA